CCGGCGCACGGGUGAGUAACACGUAUCCAACCUGCCGUCUACUCUUGGCCAGCCUUCUGAAAGGAAGAUUAAUCCAGGAUGGCAUCAUGAGUUCACAUGUCCGCAUGAUUAAAGGUAUUUUCCGGUAGACGAUGGGGAUGCGUUCCAUUAGAUAGUAGGCGGGGUAACGGCCCACCUAGUCAACGAUGGAUAGGGGUUCUGAGAGGAAGGUCCCCCACAUUGGUACUGAGACACGGACCAA
This 241-nucleotide ribosomal RNA is filed under the name uncultured bacterium. RNAcentral describes it as "partial 16S ribosomal RNA". It matches the Rfam family "Bacterial small subunit ribosomal RNA", at positions 95 to 334 of the family's 1533-position model. The record is from RNAcentral.